CUAUGAUGAGUUUAUUAGAUGACGAGUCUGAAGCUGGAGGGGCAGAGUUUCUCUGUCCUAACGGAACGUGACGAGUCUUUCAACAAUUAUACCAUUCAUGCAUAACUGAUC
RNAcentral lists this small nucleolar RNA (111 nucleotides) under Pleurotus ostreatus (oyster mushroom). RNAcentral also lists the same sequence under 1 other name. The record is from RNAcentral. Lineage: Eukaryota; Fungi; Basidiomycota; Agaricomycetes; Agaricales; Pleurotaceae.